GCGGGACUGCCCGGCACGAGCCGUUUGAAUAUCCCUGAGGCUAUAAGCAAUCCUAGGGAGCUGUCCCUGCCCCGGAGUACGGGUUCGUCCUGGGCUCCAGGGUAUACGGCGCCCACCUGACGUUUAGGCGUCAGAGGAUUUCUCGAGCAACGACCCAUGGUGGUUCCGCC
Molecule: unclassified non-coding RNA, 170 nt
Filed under: Altererythrobacter xiamenensis
Lineage: Bacteria; Pseudomonadati; Pseudomonadota; Alphaproteobacteria; Sphingomonadales; Erythrobacteraceae
Description: 6S / SsrS RNA
Rfam family: 6S / SsrS RNA
About the family: E. coli 6S RNA was the first non coding RNA to be sequenced, but its function was unknown until recently. It consists of 184 nucleotides that fold into an extended hairpin structure with a large single-stranded internal bulge.
Source: Rfam by way of RNAcentral